AUGGUUCCCGGUACAAGUAGGAAGCCUUAAUUUCACAGACGAGAGAGCCAAAAACAUGAAGUUGCCCGAAGUUCAUGCUCGCUUUUUUCUCCCCCCCCCCUUAUCCUUAUUUUAAUGUAGUUAUCCUAACCGUAGCCUACGUCCUAACCAAAUCAACCGUCCACAAUGUUUUAAAGUAUUUAUAAUGUAGCUAACCUAACCUAAUUGAACAUUAGUAUCAUUUUAUCAACACAUUUACAAUGAACCAAAAAAAAAAAAAAAAAAACACCCCGAAGAUGCACGAUCGGGAGUUUGGCUCUCUCGUCUGUGAAAAGAUGGUUUCCCCGGUAAAAGUGGUCUUUUUCUGUUACGAACAGAUAUCUCAAUCGCUUUUAUUAUUGAACUUUACUGAAUAUUUUGCAGUUUUCUGUUACAAAACUUAUUCUCUAUGGUGAUUUGUUCUUUAUAGAUCGAUUAUUAACUGUAACAACACUCUGGAACAAAAGCGGGAGGACACCAUUGUGGAUCUUUGUAGCUGAGAGCUCGCACCAGUCUUCCGCCAUCACCGACCGAGAGUAGACGCUUCAGCACUCCGGGGACCUCACUGCUUGUUCAUCUCUGCAUAGUAAUUCUGUUCGUCGUUAAUUCUGUUUAAAUCUUUUUUCGUUUAGUCCUUGGAGCUCCUCUCGGUCGGGGGACUGCAUUAAUAAUUACGUUGCGACCAUUACUGGUCUUUUUUCCUAAGUAUUCUACGUAAGUCGAUGUGUGACCACGUGGUUGGUCACUUCACCUAAACCGAUUCGUGCUGCGGGCGUUUGUUACAGUUUAAAUUGUGUGCGUGUGUAAUCAAAGUUGGCUAAAUAAAUAAGGGCGUGUAAAUUUAAAUGUA
Long non-coding RNA from Bacillus rossius redtenbacheri, 868 nucleotides. RefSeq lists it as uncharacterized. The record is from RefSeq and is a predicted model, not a curated record. Lineage: Eukaryota; Metazoa; Arthropoda; Insecta; Phasmatodea; Bacillidae. The transcript has 2 exons.